CAAAACGUGGUUGUGUUGAUUUUCUGGAAAAAAAUCAGUGUUAAAUCAUACAUAAAAGGUAACCACAAUCAUUACUCAAAAAAUAUGACAAAAGGAAUCAUAUGAUGUAUCCUCCCACAUAGUACCAACGCAAGUUCUAAAAUGUGAGACCAUAUAAAACUUGCCAGGUUCAAAAUAAAACCAACCUGCCUCAAUAACACACUUGUCUAAAAUGUAAAUCGGGGGUGGGGGAAGGGGAUAUUAGAAUUGGAUCCAAAACUGAAAUAGUAUUAAAGAAACUAAGAGCAGAACCACUCUGACAAACCCGGUAUCCAUCAUGGUUUCAGAAACAUUUACUCCAACCAGAAGCUGAUAAACAAUACAGGUUACACUAGAGCAAGGAUAGUUAUGAUUGGAUGCACCUGUAGUUUGCACCCAUAGUUCCCUCAACAAUACGUCCCUCCCAGUAUAAUAUAGCAGUCUUAAUAAUUAAUGUAAUUAGUUAUUUUUACUUAUAUAUGAGUUUAGAGGAAGUAAUACAAACUAAUUAGUACUGGCAGACAUUCCCAAGGCCAUUGAAAAUAAAAUUUCGUACUUCCAAAGUUAAAUAUGAGCCUUCUCCAUGAAUCAGACAUAAAUUCCAAAAACACCAGUUUAUACUGCAUGGGAAACAAUUUUGAGUUUACAAUUUGGAAAUACCAUCCCUUACGGCAUUAAUUUCAGAUAUACUCAUCAUUGAAUCAAGAAUUACUGGUAUUUUGGCACCAUUGAUGAGAGUCUAGGAGAGAACCUUCUCUUUAUGGUCGAUGUUUAGCAAUUACUAGGAAGAUGCACUUUUUGUUUGUCUUAAUACUUAGACCACGACAGCAACAAAACAUAGUAGUGCUUUCAUGUUGUUUGGUACGAUCAAACUUCCAAACUAUUGAAUAGAACUGUUUGAUUUAUACCAGCAGGCUAAUAGAGAGCACAAGCCGGACUGCAGCAGCAUAUAUUCACUAAAAUACUGAAAAUAUGCAAGACAUUGGCAAUGGCCAUAUAUGUUAAGUCAAAGCAACCUCCCCAAAGCAACCUCCCCAAAGCAAUGUAACAACACUCAUAAUGAAGAAAGUGCGUAAUUUGGUGAAGGAUGAAGAAAGUGCAUCCAAACUACCACUAAAUUUUCAGGUAACUCCUGUGCUUGGCAACAGUAGUUUCAGAACUCACAUUGUUUUUUGGGCAUCCAUUUUUCCCAAAUUUCAGAACUGUCUUAGGUUGAACUUCUCUAAAUUUUCUUGAGAAUUUGGCCUCUGUCCAUGUCUAAUUAUUAAUUCCAAUAAUUGAGAUGGACAGAGCCCAAAUUCUCAAGAGAAUUUGUAGAAGCAAAUAUGUUAUGAAGUUUCGGUGAUGCCAAAGAAACGCGUUUCUCAUGUUUGAUCCAAGACUCCAAGAAAUCCAAGAUAAAUGAUGAAAGAGAGAAUCGUGAGUGAUCUUCAAUUGUAAUAUCUUUCUCUGAAAGAGAGAAUUCUUCUUUUCCUCUUCUUAUUCAAAGAGAUUGGUUAAGAGACAGAGGGUCUCUUGAGUUGUAAGGAAUUUUGUACACAAGGGAAGGGUUGUCCCUGUAUGGUUCAAACUUUGUAAAAAACAUCUUACAAGAUAGUGGAACUCUCAAGCAAGUUGCUUGGGGACUGGAC
Glycine soja is the source of this 1649-nucleotide long non-coding RNA. RefSeq lists it as uncharacterized. The record is from RefSeq and is a predicted model, not a curated record. NCBI's taxonomy places the organism in Eukaryota, Viridiplantae, Streptophyta, Magnoliopsida, Fabales, Fabaceae. The transcript has 3 exons.